This is a small nucleolar RNA of Nycticebus coucang (slow loris), 168 nucleotides long. NCBI's taxonomy places the organism in Eukaryota, Metazoa, Chordata, Mammalia, Primates, Lorisidae. The record is from RefSeq and is a predicted model, not a curated record.
GGGAAACGAGGCUCUCAGUACUGGGACGUUGCAUUUGCUGUUAAGCGCAGCCCAAUAAGAGGUUUUUCCUACUUUUGAGCUACCUCUUUUCAGUAAGGGGGAUUCUUCCAGUUGCCAGGGAGAAAUUGUGGCAACUGGAGUGAGGGAGUAGGAACAGGGCAAAUAAAA